GACAGUUUGGCCGAGUGGUCUAAGGCGCCAGAUUUAGGCUCUGGUCUGAAAGGGCGUGGGUUCAAAUCUCACAGCUGUCA
This 80-nucleotide transfer RNA is filed under the name Ipomoea nil (Japanese morning glory). It matches the Rfam family "tRNA". Rfam says of the family: Transfer RNA (tRNA) molecules are approximately 80 nucleotides in length. The record is from Rfam by way of RNAcentral. Lineage: Eukaryota; Viridiplantae; Streptophyta; Magnoliopsida; Solanales; Convolvulaceae.